This 1731-nucleotide ribosomal RNA is filed under the name Triticum aestivum (bread wheat). Its description in RNAcentral is "partial small subunit ribosomal RNA". Lineage: Eukaryota; Viridiplantae; Streptophyta; Magnoliopsida; Poales; Poaceae. The record is from RNAcentral.
AUGAGGGCUCUCUUUGCAUGGUGCGCCCUCCUCUUGGCGUGCGGCGGCGUGAUGCAUUGCGCGGAGGCGGCCAAGGCCAGGCACCUCAAGUGGGAGGUGAGCCACAUGUUCUGGUCGCCGGACUGCGAGGAGAAGGUGCUCAUCGGCAUCAACGGCCAGUUCCCCGGCCCCACCAUCCGGGCCAAGGCCGGCGACACCAUCGUCGUCGAGCUCAAGAACGGGCUGCACACCGAGGGCGUCGUCAUCCACUGGCACGGCGUCAGACAGAUUGGAACGCCAUGGGCGGACGGCACGGCCGCCAUCUCCCAGUGCGCCAUCAACCCGGAAGAAACCUUCACUUAUCGAUUCGUCGUCGACAAGCCGGGGACAUACUUCUACCACGGGCACUACGGCAUGCAGAGGGCGGCGGGGCUGUACGGCUCUCUGAUCGUGGAUGUGGCGGAUGGGGAGGAGGAGCCGUUCAAGUAUGACGGCGAGCUGAACCUGCUCCUCAGCGACUGGUACCACGAGAGCAUCUACAACCAGAUGGUUGGCCUCUCCUCCAGCCCCAUGAGAUGGAUCGGCGAGCCCCAGUCGUUGCUGAUCAACGGUAGGGGGCAGUUCAACUGCUCGCUCGCGGCGGCGCACACGCCGGGCACCAAGCAGUGCACCGCCGGCGGCAACAGGCAUUGCGCGCCGGUGAUCCUCCCCGUCGAGCCCAACAAGACCUACAGGCUCCGGAUCGCCAGCACCACCUCGCUGGCUUCCCUCAACCUCGCGAUCGGGAAGCACAAGCUGACGGUGGUGGAGGCUGACGGCAACUACGUGGCGCCGUUCGUGGUGGACGACAUGGACAUCUACUCCGGCGACAGCUACUCCGUCCUGCUCACCACCGACCAGGACCCGUCGUCCAACUACUGGGUCAGCAUCGGCGUGCGUGGCCGGACGCCCAAGACGGCGCCGGCACUGGCCCUGCUCAACUACCGCCCCAACCGCGGGUUCAAGCUGCCGGCCAUCGCGCCGCCGGUGACCCCUGCGUGGAACGACACCGCGCACAGCAAGGCGUUCACGACCCAGAUCAAGGCCCGCGCCGGCACGCCCCCGCCGCCGGCGACGUCGGACCGCCGCAUCGAGCUGCUCAACACGCAGAACAAGCUGGACGGGCACAUCAAGUGGUCCAUCAACAACGUGUCCCUGGUGCUCCCGGCGACGCCGUACCUGGGCUCCCUGAAGCUGGGGCUCAAGACGGCGCUGGCCGCCGCGCGGCCGGCGGACACGUUCGGGCGCGCCUACGACGUGACGCGGCCGCCGCACAACCCCAACACGACGACGGGGGACAACGUCUACGUGCUCCGCCACAACACCACGGUGGACGUGGUGCUCCAGAACGCCAACGCGCUCCAGCACAACGUCAGCGAGGUGCACCCGUGGCACCUGCACGGCCACGACUUCUGGGUGCUGGGGUACGGCGAGGGCGCGUACAGGGGCGACGCCGCCGACGCGGCGAGGCUGAACCUGGUGAACCCGCCGCUGCGGAACACGGCGGUGAUCUUCCCGUACGGGUGGACGGCGCUGCGGUUCGUGGCGGACAACCCCGGGGUGUGGGCGUUCCACUGCCACAUCGAGCCGCACCUCCACAUGGGCAUGGGGGUCAUCUUCGCCGAGGCCAUCGACCGCGUCGGCAAGGUGCCCAAGGAGGCCGUCUCCUGCGGCGCCACGGCCACCGCGCUCAUGAACGGCGACCACCUCUGA